Molecule: small RNA, 594 nt
Filed under: Mycena sp. 7071506
Lineage: Eukaryota; Fungi; Basidiomycota; Agaricomycetes; Agaricales; Mycenaceae
Description: eukaryotic LSU rRNA
Rfam family: Eukaryotic large subunit ribosomal RNA
Source: RNAcentral
GGAUUCCCCUAGUAACUGCGAGUGAAGCGGGAAAAGCUCAAAUUUAAAAUCUGGCGGCUCUGUCGUCCGAGUUGUAAUUUAGAGAAGCGUUAUCCGCGCUGGACCGUGUACAAGUCUUCUGGAAGGAAGCAUCAUAGAGGGUGAGAAUCCCGUCUUUGACACGGACUGCCAGGGCAUUGUGAUGCGCUCUCAAAGAGUCGAGUUGUUUGGGAAUGCAGCUCAAAAUGGGUGGUAAAUUCCAUCUAAAGCUAAAUAUUGGGGAGAGACCGAUAGCGAACAAGUACCGUGAGGGAAAGAUGAAAAGAACUUUGGAAAGAGAGUUAAACAGUACGUGAAAUUGUUGAAAGGGAAACGCUUGAAGUCAGUCGCGCCGUUCAGGACUCAGCCUUGCUUUGCUUGGUGUACUUCUUGUUCGGUGGGUCAGCAUCAAUUUUGGUCGGUGGAUAAAGGCUCAGAGAAUGUGGCACCUUCGGGUGUGUUAUAGCUUUGGGUCGCAUACAUCGGCUGGGAUUGAGGAACUCAGCACGCCGCAAGGCCGGGUACUUGUACCACGUACGUGCUUAGGAUGCUGGCAUAAUGGCUUUAAUCGACCCG